This 71-nucleotide transfer RNA is filed under the name Geodermatophilus obscurus DSM 43160. It matches the Rfam family "tRNA". Rfam says of the family: Transfer RNA (tRNA) molecules are approximately 80 nucleotides in length. Lineage: Bacteria; Bacillati; Actinomycetota; Actinomycetes; Geodermatophilales; Geodermatophilaceae. RNAcentral also lists the same sequence under 1 other name. The record is from Rfam by way of RNAcentral.
GCGGGUGUAGCUCAAUGGUAGAGCCCCAGCCUUCCAAGCUGGCCAUGCGGGUUCGAUUCCCGUCACCCGCU